Pelobates cultripes (western spadefoot toad) is the source of this 138-nucleotide non-coding RNA. The record is from the annotation of a GenBank genome assembly. Lineage: Eukaryota; Metazoa; Chordata; Amphibia; Anura; Pelobatidae.
UAUAUACACCCCUGUAUAUUUAUUAGGUAUUUAGGUAUUUUUUAUAUACACCCCUAUAUAUUUAUUUAAUAAAAUAAAUGUAUAGGGGUGUAUAUAAAAUUUACCUAAAUACCUAAUAAAUAUAUAGGGGUGUAUAUA